Molecule: long non-coding RNA, 3134 nt
Organism: Leucoraja erinaceus (little skate)
Lineage: Eukaryota; Metazoa; Chordata; Chondrichthyes; Rajiformes; Rajidae
Exons: 3
Source: RefSeq, a predicted model, not a curated record
ACUGCACAUGCGCGAUGACCAUCCCUGACACCGGUCACUGCCGGCCGCCGGCACUGCACAUGCGCGGUGACCACCCCGGACCCCGGUCACUGCCGGCCGCCGGCACGACACGGGGGAGGGUGACGGAUGCCGGCUUGUUGCCACGCGCCUGCGCACUGCCGGGGAGGGCUCCCGGGGAAGAGAAGUCACGGGACACAGAUGGUUUAAUAAUAAAAGAAGAUUAAUUAAUGUCCAGAACGGGGUCGUUGCAGCGAUGGAGCGGGGUGCAGGUGGAAUGCAGGCACGGCUCACUCAUGCAUGCGUUUUUACCAUUGCACAGAGGAAUAUUAACUUUAAACUGGUUAUAUAAGCAUUGCAUUAGAUAUUAAUAUUAAAUGCUGUGGUAUAGAUGCAAUGCAGAGAGUAAAGAUUAUAGAGGAGCAAGAUAGACCACUCACUCCUCGAUAAACGCGUAGUAUCACGUGUGUGAUUGUCGCCGCCAUUUUAUUGCCCCCCCCCCCACACUGUCAUGGCGUCCUGAUCUAAAUCUUCAUCUCACUGCUCUGCUAUCAAUUGUUCUAAUUGUAAAUCUAAACGACCCGACCUGUCAUUCUUUAGGUUCCCCAAUAAAAACCAAAGAGAAUGUACAAAAUGAGGCCGAGGUUUCUCUGCAACAGUUUGCCUGCUGGUUUGAUGUUGGGUUUCUUUGUUUUCCUGCUUCGACCAGUUUCCACACAGAGUAAACCCACCAGUCACCAGCCUCAUCAUCAUCCAAUUUCUUCUGCAACUUUCAGUUUUCUCCAAAUCAAAGGCACAGUUUGCACCAAGACCUUCACAACCUCUGGGAAUAAAUCACGUCCCUUCCAGUUCAAUUCAGUUUAGUUCAGUGUCACGUUGGUGAGGUAAAGAGAAAAGCUUUUGCAGAAUGCUAACCAGCCUGGAGAAAGACAAGUAUAAUGAAUGCUAUUCACAACUGAAGUUAGAAUAGUUUGGAAUAGUUUCCAGUAACACAUAUUCAAGCAGAUGACUGUGUGAUGUUUGAAAUGUCUAUGAUAAUGGCAAAUGACAGAGUCUGUUGUUUUGUAAUAAAUGGAACGGUGAAUAUUCUUGCCUGUUCAUGCUGUAGUUGGUCCGAUAGAUCAAACUAAUAUUCAUUGCAUCAGAUCAUGGCGGAGGUUGGACUUAGGAGGUCACCAAUCAGCUGCAUAUGAUCAUCAAACUACUACAAUUUGUCAAAGUAAGUCCAAUAUUGAGAGCAAAUUUCUCCUCAGUUCUGAAUUUCACUCAAGGUAGAACCUCCAGCAAACAUCUUCACAAUCACUAGUUUUUCCCUCUGUCAUUUGGUGUUCUCCAAGCCCAACCUCACAGAGUUGCACCAAGAUCUUCACAGCCUAGAGAUAUAGACACGAGAGAUACAUUGUGUUCCAGGUGUACACUGGCCCUAUCCCCGAACUCUAUCCCCAUUACAUUGAUGACUGUACAUCGAUGCUAGAGUAAAUAUAUCCACAAUAUGCAAACACAAUCCAUACCCAGAAUUGUUUGGUCAUGUUAGUGGAGUGGCACAAAUUGACCCAGUUAGUCACCAUCAUAACUUGGAAAUACAUUGCUGGUCCUUCGUUAUUUGUGGGGCCUACUCCUAUCAUUUACAUAAUUUACUAAACACAUCCAUCAGUGGUGGAAUAAGGAUGGUCACAUCCUCAUGGGUUAAAACUGGAAGCCUAAACACUGAGGCCCACAUCCAAAAACAUAGAUUUAUCAGCAAAACAUCUGGAGGGAAUCACAACUUGCAGCUCAUCAUCAGCUCAGGAGUUAGUGUCGUCCUCAUUGUGACAAGAAAUCUAAUCAGGCUCCUUCCUUAAUCCGGGUUAACAACUCAUUUCCCCAUAUUGUGUGAAUUCUGCAGAGAAAUACAAUUCAUUUUUAUUGCUGCUCAGCCUCUGUUUUAGAUAUUUUUCCCCAGUUCCUGAAUCUUUCUCUUCAUAAUUCAUCUCAUCUCCCCGUCCACCCCACACUGUCCGUCACUCUCACAUUCUAAACAUAGAAACAUAGACAAUAGGUGCAGGAGUAGAGGCCAUUCGGCCCUUCGAGCCUGCACCAUUCGCCAUUCAAUAUGAAUAGGCUUCUCCUAUUUACUCUCAGUUUCAUGUCAUCAAACUUAGAAACAUUCAAUUUGUUUCCUUGUCAAUACCAUAGAUGAACAUUGAAAAUAACAGACUCAAGAACUGGCUUGAUGCUGGAUCAUUCAUCACCACCUGCCACCCUAACAAAGUCUCCUCUAUGUUUCCUGUCUGCCAAAUAAUUUUCAAUUCAUGCCUGUUUAAUAUUGCCUAAUCCACAUAUUUAAAAAUUCAAAGACAUUGCAAAUGGCCAUCUGUCCAUUUACUUCCACAGAUGAUUCCUGAUCCACAAAUUCCCUCCAGCAGUUUGCUCUUUGCUGGUGUUUACAGAAUCUACAAACUCUUGUGUCGCCACAUCUUCUCCCUUAUCUAUUCUACACGGUACAUCACCAUCAUCUCCAAUAGAUUUGUUUGCCAUGAUUUCACUUACAUACAUUCAAAAAUACAUUGUGUUAUCGCAUAAAUUAUUUUAAAUAUCCAAACACUGUUUUGGAACCCGGAAACACCAAACCAGGUUGGAGAUUGAAAUAUGUUUUAAUGAAUAAAGAGCAACAUUUACUAGAGAGAAACACCAUUAUUUUAUUUUUUAAUCAGUGGGAAGUAGCAACAAUAAUUUAAAAUUACGCUUUUUGGUCAAGACACCAACAAUACAAUAGUUAGUUACUAUCCUUAUAAUAAAUGCAUCCUCAACACACAUGCCCCAUGUUCUGUUCUCAUGUAUUAAAAAAAAUUACAUAAAUAGAAUUAUACAGAAUUACUUUUAAAUGUAAAGGGUAAAGAGAGAUAACGUCAGCGUAAAAGAGGAAGGAUCUGUGUUAGGCCCUGGAGGGAGUUGAGGGAGUACAGAGAAUGUUCACCAGACUGAUUCCUGGGAUGGCAGGACUUUCAUAUGAAGAAAGACUGGAUAGACUUGGCUUGUACUCGCUAGAAUUUAGAAGAUUGAGGGGGGAUCUUAUAGAAACUUACAAAAUUCUAUUGGGGUUGGACAGGCUAGAUGCAGGAAGAUUGUUCCCGAUGUUGGGGAAGUCCAGAACAAGG